RNAcentral lists this ribosomal RNA (1519 nucleotides) under uncultured bacterium. RNAcentral describes it as "partial 16S ribosomal RNA". It matches the Rfam family "Bacterial small subunit ribosomal RNA". The record is from RNAcentral.
UAGAGUUUGAUCCUGGCUCAGGAUGAACGCUGGCGGCGUGCCUAAUACAUGCAAGUCGAACGAGGAGCCUUUUUACUUGUAUUCGUACUCGUAAGAAGGAUUUCCUAGUGGCGAACGGGUGAGUAUCGCGUUGGUGACCUGCCCCAAAGAGAGGAAUAACAGUUCGAAAGGAUUGCUAAUACCUCAUGUUGUCAUGGUUUUUAGAAACCCAUGUCUAAAGGAGACUUGUCUUCACUUUGGGAGGGGCCUGCGUCCCAUCAGCUAGUUGGUAAGGUAACGGCUUACCAAGGCGACGACGGGUAGGGGACCUGAGAGGGUGGCCCCCCACAAUGGAACUGAAACACGGUCCAUACACCUACGGGUGGCAGCAGUAGGGAAUAUUGCACAAUGGACGAAAGUCUGACCGAGCGACGCCGCGUGAGCGAUGAAGGCCCUUGGGUCGUAAAGCUCUGUCAGGAGGGAAUAAGUGCCUGUGGUUAAUACCCGCAGGAAUUGAAGGUACCUCCAGAGGAAGCACCGGCUAACUAUGUGCCAGCAGCCGCGGUAAUACAUAGGGUGCAAACGUUGUUCGGAUUUACUGGGUUUAAAGGGUUCGUAGGCGGGCUAUUAAGUCAGAGGUGAAAGCCAACGGCUCAACCGUUGAAUUGCCUCUGAUACUGGUAGUCUUGAGUCGUUAGGGGAUGGGUGGAAUUCCUGGUGUAGCGGUGAAAUGCGUAAAUAUCAGGAGGAACACCAGUGGGCGAGGCNGGCAUCUGGGAACGUACUGACGCUAAGGAACGAAGGCAUGGGUAUCAAACGGGGAUAGAUACCCCGGGUAGUCCAUGCUGUAAACGGAUGGGGCACUAGGGUUUGGANGGGUCUUACCCCUUCGGUGCCGAAGGCUAACGCGUUAAGUAUUCCACUGGGGAAGUACGCUCGCNAGAGUGAACUCAANGGAAUUGACGGGGGCCCGCACNAGCGGUGGAUCAUGUGGUUUAAUUCGAUGCAACGCGAAGAACCUUACCAGGGCUUAAAUGUAGUCUGACAGCUUNAGAGAUAGAGUUUUCUUCGGACAGAUUACAAGGUGCUGCAUGGUNGUCGUCAGCUCGUGCCGUGAGGUGUCAGGUUAAGUCCUAUAACGAGCGCAACCCCUGUCGUUAGUUGCCAGCGAGUCAUGUCGGGGACUCUAACGAGACUGCCGGUGCAAACCGCGAGGAAGGUGGGGAUGACGUCAAAUCAUCACGGCCCUUACGUCCUGGGCCACACACGUGCUACAAUGGUAGGUACAGAGAGCAGCCAGCAUGCGAAUGCGAGCGAAUCUAUAAAGCCUAUCACAGUUCGGAUCGGAGUCUGCAACUCGACUCCGUGAAGCUGGAAUCGCUAGUAAUCGGAUAUCAGCCAUGAUCCGGUGAAUACGUUCCCGGGCCUUGUACACACCGCCCGUCAAGCCAUGGAAGCUGGGAGUACCUGAAGUUCGUCACCGCAAGGAGCGACCUAGGGUAAGAUCGGUAACUAGGGCUAAGUCGUAACAAGGUAACCA